Paramuricea clavata is the source of this 289-nucleotide non-coding RNA. The record is from the annotation of a GenBank genome assembly. Lineage: Eukaryota; Metazoa; Cnidaria; Anthozoa; Malacalcyonacea; Plexauridae.
CUUGUCUUUAAAUUUACAUCUUUGCAAUGAUCAUGUAAAUUUACAGGCACGGAAACAGAAAGAAGCAAUACGAUGUAAAAUGUCUGUAAAAAGUUAUUAUGUAAAAAUACUGUGAAAAGUUUGGAGAUUACUUGACAUUUUUGAAGCUGGAUAGUGGAAAAACCAUGUAGAUUUCAAACGGGGGCCCGAUAAUAAAAACCAUGGAAAAACCAUGGAAAUUUAUUGAGUAGCAGUCUUCAUAAAGUAUGUCAAUACCAUGUAAAUGAAAAUUGGGGGCCCGAUGAUAAAA